CGGCGAACGGGUGAGUAUCACGUGAGUAACCUGCCCCGAAGACCGGGAUAGCCCGGGGAAACCCGGAUUAAUACCGGAUACCCUCUGUGGAUCGCAUGGUCCGUUGAGGAAAUGUUUUUGUGCUUCGGGAUGGACUCGCGGCCUAUCAGCUUGUUGGUGAGGUAACGGCUCACCAAGGCAACGACGGGUAGCUGGUCUGAGAGGACGAUCAGCCACACUGGGACUGAGACACGGCCCAG
RNAcentral lists this ribosomal RNA (239 nucleotides) under uncultured bacterium. Its description in RNAcentral is "partial 16S ribosomal RNA". It matches the Rfam family "Bacterial small subunit ribosomal RNA", at positions 96 to 334 of the family's 1533-position model. The record is from RNAcentral.